Long non-coding RNA from Equus quagga, 1029 nucleotides. RefSeq lists it as uncharacterized. NCBI's taxonomy places the organism in Eukaryota, Metazoa, Chordata, Mammalia, Perissodactyla, Equidae. The transcript is spliced from 3 exons. The record is from RefSeq and is a predicted model, not a curated record.
GCCUGAUUCAAAUUGUUUAAUAUAGCCAAUUAGAUCUUCAAAUUUACUCGGUUGAAUUUUGUUUUUUAACAUAUUUGGUGGCAGCGGUGGGAUCAAAGGAGACUUCUGUUGACUUCGAGGACAAAGAGAAACACAGGUGUGGUGCCCUGUGAACACUUCUGAGUUUGCUGUCUUUUUUCACCAUUUCCAGGGGCGUUUUGGUUUCCUGGAUGGGCUGAAGACUUCCCUUGCUGCAAGGCUGAUGUCCUUACAGUGGCAAAGAAACUGUUAGAAAAUGUGUUUCCCACUUGGGGUCUACCUUCCAUAAUCUCUAAAAUGAUUGAGGCACCCACUUCCCUGGGGAAAUCAUACCUUAAUGAAAACCUUGGAAUGAAUUCCUUCUUAGAAUUAUCACUAUCCCUAUCACCCUAUCACCCAAUCAUUAGGCAAGGUCAAGAGAACUUGACCUCUUGAUGUGAUCCUCAAAAUUAAAAUUCCUAAACUUGCCAAAACUACUGGACUCCCUCGGCUUAAAGUAUUUCCUUUGGUCUUGCUGACUGUUCACAGUACCCACUUUGGGAGACAUAAACUCACUCCACACAAUAUAGUCUGGUAGGCCAAGUCUAUUGGUAUACAACCUGCUGCUGACCCCUUGUUGCCUCAUGCUAGUAUGACCAGUUACUGUAAGUCUCUAUGUCUUAUGUUCAAGCCUGUUAUCAACAGGGUAAAGAAGCUUUCCUGGAUCCCAAUUCAGAGGAUCCUCUUGAUCACAGUCUAGAGCCUGGUGACUAGGUAUUCUGGAAAUGUCAUCAGAGGAAGACAGCCCUUGAGCCUUGUUGGAAGAGCCUUUACCAAGUGCUCCUGACCACUGACACUGCUGCAAAACUAGAAGGCAUUGAGCCUUGGAUACACAUCUCACAGCUAAAGAAUGCUCCACCUGACAUCUGGUCCUGCACAGACGCUGGAAAUCUCUCAAUCAAAUUGACGAGGAAGAGAAAUAGCUGACAUCAAGUACUAUUCACAAUAGCCAAGACAUGGAAACCAUCCAAG